GACGAACGCUGGCGGCGUGCUUAACACAUGCAAGUCGAACGGAAAGGCCCUGCUUUUGUGGGGUGCUCGAGUGGCGAACGGGUGAGUAACACGUGAGUAACCUGCCCUUGACUUUGGGAUAACUUCAGGAAACUGGGGCUAAUACCGGAUAGGAGCUCCUGCUGCAUGGUGGGGGUUGGAAAGUUUCGGCGGUUGGGGAUGGACUCGCGGCUUAUCAGCUUGUUGGUGGGGUAGUGGCUUACCAAGGCUUUGACGGGUAGCCGGCCUGAGAGGGUGACCGGCCACAAUGGGACUAAGAUAGGGACCAGACUCCUACGGGAGGCAGCAGGGGGGAAUAUUGCACAAUGGGCGGAAGCCUGAGGCAGAAACGCCGCGUGCGGGAUGACGGCCUUCGGGUUGUAAACAGCUUUCGCCUGUGACGAAGCGGGAGUGACGGUAAUGGGUAAAGAAGCACCGGCUAACUACGUG
This 468-nucleotide ribosomal RNA is filed under the name uncultured bacterium. RNAcentral's name for it is "partial 16S ribosomal RNA". It matches the Rfam family "Bacterial small subunit ribosomal RNA", at positions 28 to 507 of the family's 1533-position model. The record is from RNAcentral.